GGAUGUAUAGCUCAGUGGUAGAGGACAUGCUUAGUACACAUAAGGUCCUGGGUUCAAUCCCCAGCUCUCCA
RNAcentral lists this transfer RNA (71 nucleotides) under Camelus bactrianus (Bactrian camel). It matches the Rfam family "tRNA". From Rfam's summary of the family: Transfer RNA (tRNA) molecules are approximately 80 nucleotides in length. Their secondary structure includes four short double-helical elements and three loops (D, anti-codon, and T loops). RNAcentral also lists the same sequence under 1 other name. The record is from Rfam by way of RNAcentral. Lineage: Eukaryota; Metazoa; Chordata; Mammalia; Artiodactyla; Camelidae.